ACAAGUCUAAAAAACUGAUUGAAAUGAUCAAGUUAACACAAUGAAGUAAAGAGUACUGGUAAUCUGCAGCUAUUUUCAUAAUUUCAAGGUAAAAUUCUGAUGUGUGAUUUUCGAGCUUUGCAGAUGUGGAAAUCCAAUGCACUGAUUUCUUAUACACAGAUGCUUUUGGUGUUUUUUGUUGUAAAAUAAAACAAGGCAUUUAUCACUGUUGGAAAUGAUUACAGGUAUUAUUUGUAACACUUUCUAACAUUGUAUGGACAAAGCAAUAAAUCAGUUAAUGGAUAAAAUCAUUUGUAUUACAGAUGCUAUCAACAGCAUGUCUUGUUCAUUUUAUUAAGUUGUCGGCCUUGGAUGAUGAGGUCCAGUUACCAGGAGCACUAGUCUGCAGCUUACUGGUUCCGUCCUGCAGCUCCUCCACGCUGUCCUCCUCUCUACAGACCAAAUCAAGAAAAGGGAACCAGGAAGCUGCUGUGGAUCCUCUGCAGUAUCUGGAGAGGUCAGAGGAACGGUUCUUGGAACAGAUCGGAAGACACCAAGACGUGACCUCUGCCAUGCUCCAGAACAUCCAGAAGAUGAAUGAAAACCUUGGUUGCACUGAUGGGACGCAUGGUGUCGGUGCUGGAGCAACUGUCCCAGAAUUAAACUGCAUUGUUGACUAUUGGCUUUUCUAGAAAAUAAAUCUUUUUUAGUACUUCACCUGUUUUGUAUUUUACUCAUGCACUUUGGGUGAAUAAACAGAAAUUUGUGAUGAGA
This is a long non-coding RNA of Acanthochromis polyacanthus (spiny chromis), 753 nucleotides long. RefSeq lists it as uncharacterized. Lineage: Eukaryota; Metazoa; Chordata; Actinopteri; Pomacentridae. The transcript is spliced from 2 exons. The record is from RefSeq and is a predicted model, not a curated record.